AUUGAACGCUGGCGGCAUGCUUUACACAUGCAAGUCGAACGGUAACAGGCCGCAAGGUGCUGACGAGUGGCGAACGGGUGCGUAAUGCAUCGGAACGUGCCCAGUCGUGGGGGAUAACUACUCGACAGCGUAGCUAAUACAGCAUACGAUCUAUGGAUGAAAGCGGGGGACCGUAAGGCCUCGCGCGAUUGGAGCGGCCGAUGUCAGAUUAGGUAGUUGGUGGGGUAAAGGCUCACCAAGCCAACGAUCUGUAGCUGGUCUGGGAGGACGACCAGCCACACGGGAACGGGGACACGGCCCAGACUCCUAGGGGGGGAGCCGGGGGGGAAUUUUGGACAAGGGGGGCAGGCCGGAUCCAGAAAUGCCGGGGGCAGAAAGAAGGCCUCCGGUUGGUAAACUCCGUUUUUAGGGAACAAAACGGCUCUGGUGAAGACCCGGGGCUAAUGACGGUACCGGAAAAAUAAGCACCGGCUAACUACGUG
RNAcentral lists this ribosomal RNA (482 nucleotides) under uncultured bacterium. Its description in RNAcentral is "partial 16S ribosomal RNA". It matches the Rfam family "Bacterial small subunit ribosomal RNA", at positions 29 to 507 of the family's 1533-position model. The record is from RNAcentral.